RNAcentral lists this ribosomal RNA (330 nucleotides) under uncultured eukaryote. Its description in RNAcentral is "partial 18S ribosomal RNA". It matches the Rfam family "Eukaryotic small subunit ribosomal RNA", at positions 1470 to 1796 of the family's 1831-position model. The record is from RNAcentral.
CCCUUAGAUGUUCUGGGCCGCACGCGUGCUACACUGAUGCAUUCAACGAGUCUAAAACCUGGUCUGAUAGGGCUGGGUAAUCUUUUGAAAGUGCAUCGUGAUUGGGAUAGAUGAUUGCAAUUCUUCAUCUUCAACGAGGAAUGCCUAGUAAACGCAAGUCAUCAGCUUGCAUUGAUUACGUCCCUGCCCUUUGUACGCACCGCCCGUCGCUCCUACCGAUUGAAUGAUCCGAUGAAUACCAUGGAUUGAGAGUACGAAUAGGUUCGCUUAUUUCUGCUGCUCGAGAAGUGGAGUAAAUCUUAUCAUUUAGAGGAAGGAGAAGUCGUAACA